CGCGGCGACGUGGGUGGUUCGCCGUCUGCGACGUCGCGAGAAGUCCACUAAACCUUAUCAUUUAGAGGAAGGAGAAGUCGUAACAAGGUUUCCGUAGGUGAACCUGCGGAAGGAUCAUUG
Molecule: ribosomal RNA, 120 nt
Filed under: Isatis tinctoria
Lineage: Eukaryota; Viridiplantae; Streptophyta; Magnoliopsida; Brassicales; Brassicaceae
Description: partial 18S ribosomal RNA
Rfam family: Eukaryotic small subunit ribosomal RNA
Source: RNAcentral